RNAcentral lists this long non-coding RNA (223 nucleotides) under Homo sapiens (human). Its description in RNAcentral is "HSALNT0196477". The record is from RNAcentral. Lineage: Eukaryota; Metazoa; Chordata; Mammalia; Primates; Hominidae.
AUUCGACCACUUUGUCCUUGGGACUGGGCAGCUGGGCCAGCUGGGGCCGGACCAGGGCUGGUCCCGUGAUUGUGUCUACUUCUGCCCUGUCCCCUGCACGCACCGUAACUGCAUGGCUAUGACCCCGCCCUCAGCGUCCGUCUCUGCACCUCUUUCUCCUCAUGGCUCCUGGGUGGGGAGAGGCAGAGGGAGGAGAGCAGGCCCAGCUUGGUGGGGAGGUACG